RNAcentral lists this ribosomal RNA (301 nucleotides) under uncultured bacterium. Its description in RNAcentral is "partial 16S ribosomal RNA". It matches the Rfam family "Bacterial small subunit ribosomal RNA", at positions 509 to 809 of the family's 1533-position model. The record is from RNAcentral.
CAGCCGCCGCGGGAAUACGGAGGGUGCAAGCGUUAUCCGGAUUCACUGGGUUUAAAGGGUGCGUAGGCGGAUCUGUAAGUCAGUGGUGAAAUCUCCAGGCUUAACCUGGAAACUGCCGUUGAUACUAUAGGUCUUGAAUUUUGUGGAGGUUAGCGGAAUAUGUCAUGUAGCGGUGAAAUGCAUAGAUAUGACAUAGAACACCAAUUGCGAAGGCAGCUGGCUACACAACUAUUGACGCUGAGGCACGAAAGCGUGGGGAUCAAACAGGAUUAGAUACCCCCGUAGUCCCUGUCUCUUAUAA